This 301-nucleotide ribosomal RNA is filed under the name uncultured bacterium. Its description in RNAcentral is "partial 16S ribosomal RNA". It matches the Rfam family "Bacterial small subunit ribosomal RNA", at positions 509 to 807 of the family's 1533-position model. The record is from RNAcentral.
CAGUCGCCGCGGGAAUACGGAGGGUGCAAGCGUUAUCCGGAUUUAUUGGGUUUAAAGGGUCCGUAGGCGGACUUAUAAGUCAGUGGUGAAAGCCUGUCGCUUAACGAUAGAACUGCCAUUGAUACUGUAAGUCUUGAGUAUAUUUGAGGUAGCUGGAAUAAGUAGUGUAGCGGUGAAAUGCAUAGAUAUUACUUAGAACACCAAUUGCGAAGGCAGGUUACCAAGAUAUAACUGACGCUGAGGGACGAAAGCGUGGGUAGCGAACAGGAUUGGAUACCCCUGUAGUCCCUGUCUCUUAUAC